AUUGAACGCUGGCGGCAGGCCUAACACAUGCAAGUCGAACGAGUGGCGGACGGGUGAGUAAUUUCUGGGAAACUGUCUGAUGGAGGGGGAUAACUACUGGAAACGGUAGCUAAUACUGCAUACCAUCAGAUGUGCCCAGAUGGGAUUAGCUUGGUGGUGGGGUAACGGCUCACCAAGGCGACGAUCCCUAGCUGGUCUGAGAGGAUGACCGGCCACACUGGAACUGAGACACGGUACAGACUCCUACGGGAGGCAGCAGUGGGGAAUAUUGCACAAUGGGCGCAAGCCUGAUGCAGCCAUGCCGCGUGUAUGAAGAAGGCCUUCGGGUUGGAAAGUACUUUUAGCGGGGAGGCGUUACCCGCAGAGGAAGCACCGGCUAACUCCGUGCCAGCAGCCGCGGUAAUUC
RNAcentral lists this ribosomal RNA (406 nucleotides) under uncultured bacterium. Its description in RNAcentral is "partial 16S ribosomal RNA". It matches the Rfam family "Bacterial small subunit ribosomal RNA", at positions 30 to 526 of the family's 1533-position model. The record is from RNAcentral.